GGGAGUAGGUGGACGGUUGACGGUGAACCCUUCUGGGUUCGCUGAGGAAAGUCCUCCCUCGCUCUGGACUGGGGAACCACGCAAGUGGUAGAGGUGAGAGCCUCUGCAGAGGAGCAGAAACGACACAGCUCAAGGAUAAUGCAAUGAUUCACAUGGUGAUGAGGUCUCCUUGAGAUUUGAUGAAACGGCCACUCUGCCCCCAGAGCAAGCCCAAAUAUUGAGAUCAGUUGUCCAGACUGCUCAAAGGUAGGGCGCCCAGUCGAAUACCGUCUAAAACAGAAGGAGGCUUACGGCCUACACCC
RNAcentral lists this RNase P RNA (302 nucleotides) under Thermoplasmata archaeon. RNAcentral describes it as "RNase P RNA component". It matches the Rfam family "Archaeal RNase P". Rfam says of the family: Ribonuclease P (RNase P) is a ubiquitous endoribonuclease, found in archaea, bacteria and eukarya as well as chloroplasts and mitochondria. Its best characterised activity is the generation of mature 5'-ends of tRNAs by cleaving the 5'-leader elements of precursor-tRNAs. Cellular RNase Ps are ribonucleoproteins. Lineage: Archaea; Methanobacteriati; Thermoplasmatota; Thermoplasmata. The record is from RNAcentral.